RNAcentral lists this long non-coding RNA (368 nucleotides) under Brassica napus (rape). RNAcentral's name for it is "long non-coding RNA (BNAP_LNC011532)". The record is from RNAcentral. Lineage: Eukaryota; Viridiplantae; Streptophyta; Magnoliopsida; Brassicales; Brassicaceae.
GACGGGCCAGACCGAGUGGGCUUCUCCGCUCAUACCCACUGGAUUAAAUCCAUCUGUUGCUAAUCCUAGAUAAACAUUUCGACUUUCCUUCGCAAAAUCAGGAUAUACCUUGUUAAAAUGCUUCCAUGCUGCAGCAUCAGAAGGGUGGUGCAUUUCUCCUUCUGGCGACUAAUGUUCUGCGUGCCAUCGCAUUUGUGAUGCAGUAGACUCUUGUUGGUACAGACGCUUCAACCUCUCUGUAAUAGGCAAAUAGAACAUUCUCUGUUUUGGACGCCUCUUCCCCUUUCCAUGGUUCUUGUGAUAUCUAUCUUUCCCACAAAACCGACACGCCAACAGCCCGUGAUCUUCUUUCCAAAAUAACAUGCAAU